UUUCCUGUAGUUGAAUUACAGCGGUGGUUUUUCAAGCCAUUGGUCCUGGGUUAGAAUCCUGGCAGGAAUG
RNAcentral lists this transfer RNA (70 nucleotides) under Rhinogobius cliffordpopei. RNAcentral describes it as "tRNA-Glu". It matches the Rfam family "tRNA". Rfam says of the family: Transfer RNA (tRNA) molecules are approximately 80 nucleotides in length. Lineage: Eukaryota; Metazoa; Chordata; Actinopteri; Gobiiformes; Gobiidae. The record is from RNAcentral.